CCCUUAGAUGUUCUGGGCGGCCCGCGCACUACAUUGGCACUAGCAAAGAGGUCCUAGAUUGAAUUCUUUGGGGUAUUCUUCUAAAUGGUGUCGUGACUGGGAUAAAUCCUUGUAAUUAUUGGUUUUGAACGAGGAAUUCCUUGUAAUCGCGGUUUAUCAGCUCGCGUUGAAUGCGUCCCUGCCCUUUGUACACACCGCCCGUCGCUCCUACCGAUGGAUCGUCCGGUGAAGCUCACGGAGUGACUGUUCACGCAACGGUUUACGAAGUGAAAUGGACCUCACGAUUUAGAGGAAGGAGAAGUCGUAACA
RNAcentral lists this ribosomal RNA (309 nucleotides) under uncultured eukaryote. Its description in RNAcentral is "partial 18S ribosomal RNA". It matches the Rfam family "Eukaryotic small subunit ribosomal RNA", at positions 1470 to 1796 of the family's 1831-position model. The record is from RNAcentral.